AUGGUGCUAGCGCAGCUCGGCGGGAGCCUCUCCCGCGCGCUGGCGCGGAUGACGAGCGCCACGGUCGUCGACGAGAGGGUCCUCGGCGACUGCCUCAACGAGAUCACCCGCGCGCUCCUGCAGGCCGACGUCCAGUUCGACAUGGUCCGCGGCAUGCAGGCCAGCGUCAAGCGCGCCAUCGACCUCGGGACGCUCGCCGCCGGCACCGACAAGCGCCGCGUCAUCAAGGGGGCCGUCGUCGAUGAGCUGUGCAACAUGUUGGACGCCGGGAAGCCCGCCUUCGCUCCCAAGAAAGGGAAGCCGUGCGUGGUUAUGUUUGUUGGUUUGCAAGGUUCUGGGAAAACUACCACUUGUAUGAAAUAUGCUCAUUAUCAUCAGAAGAUAGGAUUCAAACCAGCACUGGUUUGUGCUGAUACAUUCAGGGCUGGUGCUUUUGAUCAGUUAAAACAGAAUGCGACAAAGAUCAUGGUUCCUUUUUAUGGAAGCUACAUGGAAUCUGAUCCAGUAAAAAUUGCUGCUGAGGGCGUGGAGAGGUUUAGAAAAGAAAAUUGCGAUCUCAUAAUUGUAGAUACAAGUGGAAGGCACAAACAAGAAGCAGCCCUCUUUGAAGAAAUGCGCCAAGUUUCAGAAGCAACGAAACCAGACCUGGUAAUAUUUGUGAUGGACAGUAGCAUUGGUCAGGCUGCCUUUGCUCAGGCCCAAGCAUUCAGGCAAAGUGUUCCGGUUGGUGCUGUAAUUGUUACAAAAAUGGAUGGCCAUGCGAAAGGAGGUGGCGCACUUAGCGCUGUCGCAGCAACGAAAAGUCCAGUGAUAUUUAUUGGAACUGGAGAACACAAAGACGAGCUAGAAGAUUUUGAUGUGAGACCAUUUGUUGGUCGCCUAUUAGGUAUGGGAGAUUUGCCAGGCUUGAUGAAGAAGGCUCGUCAAGUCGUACCCGCUGAUCAACAACCUGACCUUAUGAAGAGACUGAUGGAAGGAAACUUUACUCUGAGACUUAUGUACGAGCAAUUCCAGAACCUUGGUAAAAUUGGCUCUAUUGACCAGAUCUUCUCCAUGUUGCCUGGAUUUAGUUCUGAAUUGAUGCCACAAGGACAUGAGAAGCAGGGUGAGGCCAAGAUAAAGCGGUAUAUGACGAUGAUGGAUUCCAUGACAGACGCAGAGCUUGACAGCGAAAAUCCGAAGCUGAUGAAGGAAUCCCGAAUUAUUCGGAUUGCUCGGGGAUCUGGCCGGCCUGUCAAGGAUGUCUUGGACAUGCUGGAAGAAUACAAACGGCUUGCGAAGGUGUGGACCAAUGUAAUAAAACGGCUAAGGAAGUCAAACAAAGGAAACACGAAUGCUCAGCACAUCAGCAAGUCUCUCCCUCCAGAGCUACUGACUCAGAUAGGCGGCAUUGGUGGAUUACGGUCUCUGCUGAAUCAGACGGUCUCAAAAGAAAUGGGCGGUGGUGAUAGGUAA
This 1455-nucleotide ribosomal RNA is filed under the name Triticum aestivum (bread wheat). RNAcentral describes it as "partial small subunit ribosomal RNA". The record is from RNAcentral. Lineage: Eukaryota; Viridiplantae; Streptophyta; Magnoliopsida; Poales; Poaceae.